This 795-nucleotide ribosomal RNA is filed under the name uncultured bacterium. RNAcentral describes it as "SSU rRNA". It matches the Rfam family "Bacterial small subunit ribosomal RNA", at positions 71 to 853 of the family's 1533-position model. The record is from RNAcentral.
GGUUGGUACUUGUACCGACUGGAUGAGCAGCGAACGGGUGAGUAACGCGUGGGAAUCUGCCUUUGAGCGGGGGACAACAUUUGGAAACGAAUGCUAAUACCGCAUAAAAACUUUAAACACAAGUUUUAAGUUUGAAAGAUGCAAUUGCAUCACUCAAAGAUGAUCCCGCGUUGUAUUAGCUAGUUGGUGAGGUAAAGGCUCACCAAGGCGAUGAUACAUAGCCGACCUGAGAGGGUGAUCGGCCACAUUGGGACUGAGACACGGCCCAAACUCCUACGGGAGGCAGCAGUAGGGAAUCUUCGGCAAUGGACGAAAGUCUGACCGAGCAACGCCGCGUGAGUGAAGAAGGUUUUCGGAUCGUAAAACUCUGUUGGUAGAGAAGAACGUUGGUGAGAGUGGAAAGCUCAUCAAGUGACGGUAACUACCCAGAAAGGGACGGCUAACUACGUGCCAGCAGCCGCGGUAAUACGUAGGUCCCGAGCGUUGUCCGGAUUUAUUGGGCGUAAAGCGAGCGCAGGUGGUUUAUUAAGUCUGGUGUAAAAGGCAGUGGCUCAACCAUUGUAUGCAUUGGAAACUGGUAGACUUGAGUGCAGGAGAGGAGAGUGGAAUUCCAUGUGUAGCGGUGAAAUGCGUAGAUAUAUGGAGGAACACCGGUGGCGAAAGCGGCUCUCUGGCCUGUAACUGACACUGAGGCUCGAAAGCGUGGGGAGCAAACAGGAUUAGAUACCCUGGUAGUCCACGCCGUAAACGAUGAGUGCUAGAUGUAGGGAGCUAUAAGUUCUCUGUAUCGCAGCU